Molecule: long non-coding RNA, 617 nt
Organism: Gallus gallus (chicken)
Lineage: Eukaryota; Metazoa; Chordata; Aves; Galliformes; Phasianidae
Source: Ensembl
CCUCACUGGGCACCACUUCCCUCAUAUUAAUUCAAUCUUUAAUUGAUAUUGAGAAGUUCUUUUUUCCUUUGAGUCUAACAAAUAACAAGCUCUGUGCUGAAAGUAAUAACCUCACCAGAGAGAAACAUAACUAAGAGGAAGAAUUACUGUGGAAGAUAUACUUGCCAUUUUUUUUUCUUCUCAAGAAGAUAGCAAAGGUAGGAGAGCAACUGAACAAUACAAUAAUUAGAGGUCAUCUGUAAGACUGGAAAUUUGAAAUGACAAGGCAGAAACACUAUCGAAGUAGGAUUCAGCUAUCUUGAAAUGCAGGAUGUGUGUUGAAGGAUGCUUUUGUUGUUUGAUCUACAGUCAGGUAUGCAUUACUGUAAGUAUCAUUGUAGGUAGCUGUUGAGGGUUCUUUCUAUGUAGCAGGAACCCAGAGUCAAAAGCAACAAGCUCAUUGCUUGUUCUUGUUGUUGCUGCCUGUGCCUUAAAAAUUGUGAUUAGAACUAAAAAGGAAACAAAACUCUCGUGAUGGAUGGUUCAGCAGUUUGUAAAUCUCCUUUCCUUAUUCACACAAGAAUGCCUUGCUCUCAUCCCCUUUCCCUGUUAUCUUUUUGGGCUAACGUCAUGUGCAG